UGGGGAAUUUUGGACAAUGGGGGAAACCCUGAUCCAGCCAUCCCGCGUGUGCGAUGAAGGCCUUCGGGUUGUAAAGCACUCUUGGCAGGAAAGAAACGUCAUGGGUUAAUACCCCGUGAAACUGACGGUACCUGCAGAAUAAGCACCGGCUAACUACGUGCCAGCAGCCGCGGUAAUACGUAGGGUGCAAGCGUUAAUCGGAAUUACUGGGCGUAAAGCGUGCGCAGGCGGUUCGGAAAGAAAGAUGUGAAAUCCCAGAGCUCAACUUUGGAACUGCAUUUUUAACUACCGAGCUAGAGUGUGUCAGAGGGAGGUGGAAUUCCGCGUGUAGCAGUGAAAUGCGUAGAUAUGCGGAGGAACACCGAUGGCGAAGGCAGCCUCCUGGGAUAACACUGACGCUCAUGCACGAAAGCGUGGGGAGCAAACAGG
RNAcentral lists this ribosomal RNA (429 nucleotides) under Acidobacteriota bacterium. RNAcentral describes it as "Acidobacteria bacterium partial 16S ribosomal RNA". It matches the Rfam family "Bacterial small subunit ribosomal RNA", at positions 355 to 776 of the family's 1533-position model. Lineage: Bacteria; Pseudomonadati; Acidobacteriota. The record is from RNAcentral.